RNAcentral lists this ribosomal RNA (274 nucleotides) under uncultured prokaryote. RNAcentral's name for it is "partial 16S ribosomal RNA". It matches the Rfam family "Bacterial small subunit ribosomal RNA", at positions 524 to 798 of the family's 1533-position model. The record is from RNAcentral.
CACGGGGUUGCGAGCGUUGUCCGGAAUUACUAGGCGUAAAGGGCAGGCAGGCGGAUCCAUAAGUUUAUCGUUUAAGGCGUCGGCUUAACCGGCGUAGGGCGGUAGAUACUGUGGAUCUGGAAUGCGGUUGGGGAAGACAGAAUUCCUGGUGUAGCGGUGGAAUGCGCAGAGAUCAGGAGGAAUACCGAAUGCGAAGGCAGUCUUCCAAGCCGUUAUUGACGCUCAACUGCGAAGGUGUGGGUAUCAAACAGGAUUAGAUACCCUGGUAGUCCCU